ACUCCUACGGGAGGCAGCAGUGGGGAAUAUUGCACAAUGGGGGGAAACCCUGAUGCAGCCAUGCCGCGUGUGUGAAGAAGGCCUUCGGGUUGUAAAGCACUUUCAGUUGUUGAGGAAAAGUUAGUAGUUAAUACCUGCUAGCCGUGACGUUAACAACAGAAGAAGCACCGGCUAACUCCGUGCCAGCAGCCGCGGUAAUACGGAGGGUGCGAGCGUUAAUCGGAAUUACUAGGGCGUAAAGCGCACGCAGGCGGUUUGUUAAGCUAGAUGUGAAAGCCCCGGGGCUCAACCUGGGGAUGGUACAUUUAGAACUGGCAGACUAGAGUCUUGGAGAGGGGAGUGGAAUUCCAGGUGUAGCGGUGAAAUGCGUAAGAUAUCUAGGAGGAACAUC
Molecule: ribosomal RNA, 391 nt
Filed under: uncultured bacterium
Lineage: Bacteria
Description: bacterial SSU rRNA
Rfam family: Bacterial small subunit ribosomal RNA
Source: RNAcentral